Molecule: non-coding RNA, 23 nt
Filed under: Arabidopsis thaliana (thale cress)
Lineage: Eukaryota; Viridiplantae; Streptophyta; Magnoliopsida; Brassicales; Brassicaceae
Source: RNAcentral
GUAAUCCCCUAGGUCCGAAACCA